Long non-coding RNA from Halichondria panicea, 1102 nucleotides. RefSeq lists it as uncharacterized. The record is from RefSeq and is a predicted model, not a curated record. The transcript is spliced from 3 exons. Lineage: Eukaryota; Metazoa; Porifera; Demospongiae; Suberitida; Halichondriidae.
CCCCCUUUUGUUUUUCCUGGAUCCGCCCCUGACAGCCAUGUUAUAGCUCGUACAGCUACACAACUCUCUUAUCAGCCCGCUUACUAACCCCAAAGAACUUGCUGUAUCUCCAGUGCAACAAUUUUUUAGUGAAAAACACAAGAACAGUCGUUCACAGAUCCAUAUUUUAGUCCACGGUAUAUAUCUGGAGCUGGAGGUCUGCCUUCAACUUCGUGGCCAAACUUUGUUGAGGAGAUAUCGUCGCUCGUAUGGGUUUCUUGUCUUCAGUUAAAGAGUGAGCCAAGCAAUGCCUUUCGUCGCUCUUUGCCAGUGUGCCUAAUUUCACUAGCGACGUGACAUGGUUACCACCACUCAGCAUCAACCGGUGAGAAGCUGUUUGUUUCUACGGCGAAUUGUGGAGGUAUUCCACUCGGAACACGAGGGUUGGAGACACACUGCUGGACAGGCUAAUAAUUUUCUACAAAGCUGUGAGAAAACAGACAAAAACUUUCAGAGAAUCGCAGUUUUGUAGCUUCCUCUCUAGAGGUGUUAGCGGAGACUGUGACUUGUGUAUAGGAUGUCGUUACAGCAGUACACUCACUAAGGACAUGAGGAUCGAGGAUCUUUCAUGAACCCUAUUCCUGUGCACAACUUGCAAGUGACCUUGAUGUUUCCGAGAGGCGUUAAAUGAUGUCAGGGGGACGUACGUACGUGUUGCAGUUGUCGGCUAGGUGGUCCCGAUAGCAGCAUGGACACGACAACAACUUGGACUGCCUCAACUACUCACAGCAGUAUGCUGCACAGAAGUACGACAAACUGUCAACUCAAUAGGUUGCUGAAGCACUGUCGCUAAAAUUAAUUAUCAUCGAUUCUUAUUGGCUAUGGUCUUUAUAGCUGUUGAUACGAUAUUGUUGGUGUCGAACUGAUCAAACAGCCCCCUAUAUAGCUUAUAAAUAAGUUGCUCAUUCAUUCCUAUGUGUGUAACAAGCAAUUCAAUUCAACCUACUUGUUGUAUAUACUUACAAGCAUUUUAUUGUGUGAUUUUGUGUUGAUAAUGCCACAACUUUGAAUGUGAAUAUCUUUUUGUAAAAAAGUUAGCCAUCUACCUGUCUUUGUUAUUGAA